RNAcentral lists this transfer RNA (75 nucleotides) under Persephonella sp. Its description in RNAcentral is "tRNA-Cys". It matches the Rfam family "tRNA". From Rfam's summary of the family: Transfer RNA (tRNA) molecules are approximately 80 nucleotides in length. Their secondary structure includes four short double-helical elements and three loops (D, anti-codon, and T loops). Lineage: Bacteria; Pseudomonadati; Aquificota; Aquificia; Aquificales; Hydrogenothermaceae. The record is from RNAcentral.
GGCGGGGUGGCCAAGUGGUAAGGCAGGGGACUGCAAAUCCCUUAUGCGCGGGUUCAGAUCUCCCGCCACCUGCCU